AGAGUUUGAUCAUGGCUCAGAUUGAACGCUGGCGGCAUGCCUUACACAUGCAAGUCGAACGGUAACGGGCCUUCGGGUGCCGACGAGGUGGCGAACGGGUGAGUAAUGCAUCGGAACGUACCUUUCAGUGGGGAUAACGUAGCGAAAGUUACGCUAAUACCGCAUAUUCUGUGAGCAGGAAAGCAGGGGAUCGCAAGACCUUGCGCUGAUUGAGCGGCCGAUGUCAGAUUAGCUAGUUGGUGAGGUAAAGGCUCACCAAGGCGACGAUCUGUAGCGGGGUCUGAGAGGAUGAUCCGCCACACUGGAACUGAGACACGGUCCAGACUCCUACGGGAGGCAGCAGUGGGGAAUUUUGGACAAUGGGGGCAACCCUGAUCCAGCCAUGCCGCGUGAGUGAAGAAGGCCUUCGGGUUGUAAAGCUCUUUCGGCCGGGAAGAAAUCGCAUGGGUUAAUACCCUGUGCGGAUGACGGUACCGGCAUAAGAAGCACCGGCUAACUACGUG
This 503-nucleotide ribosomal RNA is filed under the name uncultured bacterium. Its description in RNAcentral is "bacterial SSU rRNA". It matches the Rfam family "Bacterial small subunit ribosomal RNA", at positions 8 to 507 of the family's 1533-position model. The record is from RNAcentral.